Molecule: long non-coding RNA, 881 nt
Filed under: Medicago truncatula (barrel medic)
Lineage: Eukaryota; Viridiplantae; Streptophyta; Magnoliopsida; Fabales; Fabaceae
Description: long non-coding RNA (MTRU_LNC000576)
Source: RNAcentral
UGGACUAGGAGUAGAGUGGGGAGAUUGGAUAUUUGUAGGUAUUUGAGAGGUGGGAGCAUGAAUUGUAGACAUUUGUGGACUUGGAGUAGAGAGGAAAGGUGGGAAAUUUGUAAAUGUUUGAGAUAUGGGAUGAUGUUUCGGUUGCCUUGUAGGUUGUGGAAGUUGGAUAUUUGAAGGUGUGUUAGAUGUAAGAUGAUGUGUAGGUUUCCUUGUAGAGUGGGGUUGUUGGGUAUUUGUAGGUAUUUGAGAAGUGGGAGCAUGGACAGUAGACAUUUGUGGACUUGAAGUAGAGAGGAAAGGUGGGAAGUUUGUAUGUGUUUGAGAUAUGGGAUGAUGUGUAGGUUGCUUUGUAAAUAGGGAUUGUUGGAUAUUUGAAGGUGUUUUAGAUGUAAGAUGAUGUGUAGGUUUCCUUGUAGAGUGGGGUUGUUGGGUAUUUGUAGGUAUUUGAGAAGUGGGAGCAUGGACAGUAGACAUUUGUGGACUUGAAGUAGAGAGGAAAGGUGGGAAGUUUGUAUGUGUUUGAGAUAUGGGAUGAUGUGUAGGCUGCUUUGUAGAUAGGGAUUGUUGGAUAUUUGAAGGUGUUUUAGAUGUAAGAUGAUGUGUAGGUUUCAUUGUAGAGUGGGGUUGUUGGGUAUUUGUAGGUAUUUGAGAAGUGGGAGCAUGGACAGUAGACAUUUGUGGACUUGAAGUAGAGAGGAAAGGUGGGAAGUUAGUAUGUGUUUGAGAUAUGGGAUGAUGUGUAGGUUGCUUUGUAGAUAGGGAUUGUUGGGUGUCUGCAGGCCUAGGUGCUUGUAAUCUAGAAGAAUGCGACAAAGUAGUUUUAUGCUUACCUCCCUUAUUUCCCUUAACUUUGUUGAUGCUUAUACCAGCACCUCUUCCAC